GGCUAACGCUGGCGGCGUGUCUUAGCCAUGCAAGUCGAGCGGACUUAUGGGGUAACUUAUAAGUCAGCGGCGGACGGCGGAGUAACACGUAGCUAACCUACCCUCUGGACGGGGAUAACCUACCGAAAGGUGGGCUAAUACCCGAUGUAGUCAUCCUGUAUAGGGGUGAUGAAAGGUGGGCUUCUGUUUACAAGCUCAUGCUGGAGGAGGGGGCUGCGGCCUAUCAGGUAGUUGGUAGGGUAAUAGCCUACCAAGCCGAUGACGGGUAGCCGGCCUGAGAGGGUGACCGGCCCGAGGGGCACUGAGAUACGGGUCCCACUCCUACGGGAGGCAGCAGGCUAGAAAUUUGGGCAAUGGGGGAAACCCUGGACCCAGUGACGCCGCGUGCAGGAAGGAGCCCUUCGGGGUGUAAACUGCUGUCGUGUAGGGAGAAGGGUACUAAGGUGAACAAUCUUAGUACUUGACGGUACUACAGGAGGAAGCCCAGGCUAACCUCGUG
RNAcentral lists this ribosomal RNA (499 nucleotides) under uncultured bacterium. Its description in RNAcentral is "bacterial SSU rRNA". It matches the Rfam family "Bacterial small subunit ribosomal RNA", at positions 28 to 507 of the family's 1533-position model. The record is from RNAcentral.